GAUGAACGCUGGCGGCGUGCCUAAUACAUGCAAGUCGAGCGAACAGAUGAUGAGCUUGCUCCUCUGACGUUAGCGGCGGACGGGUGAGUAACACGUGGAUAACCUACCUAGAAGACUGGGAUAACUUCGAGAAACCGGAACUAAUACCGGAUAAUAUAUUGAACCGCAUGGUUCAAUAGUGAAAGACGGUUUUGCUGUCACUUAUAGAUGUAUCCUCGCCUCAUUAGCUAGUUGGUAAGGUAACGGCUUACCAAGGCAACGAUGCGUAGCCGACCUGAGAGGGUGAUCGGCCACACUGGAACUGAGACACGGUCCAGACUCCUACGGGAGGCAGCAGUAGGGAAUCUUCCGCAAUGGGCGAAAGCCUGACGGAGCAACGCCGCGUGAGUGAUGAAGGUCUUCGGAUCGUAAAACUCUGUUAUUAGGGAAGAACAAAUGUGUAAGUAACUAUGCACGUCUUGACGGUACCUAAUCAGAAAGCCACGGCUAACUACGUG
This 497-nucleotide ribosomal RNA is filed under the name uncultured bacterium. Its description in RNAcentral is "partial 16S ribosomal RNA". It matches the Rfam family "Bacterial small subunit ribosomal RNA", at positions 28 to 507 of the family's 1533-position model. The record is from RNAcentral.